This 144-nucleotide microRNA precursor is filed under the name Picea abies (Norway spruce). RNAcentral describes it as "miR3627d stem-loop (pab-MIR3627d)". Lineage: Eukaryota; Viridiplantae; Streptophyta; Pinopsida; Pinales; Pinaceae. The record is from miRBase by way of RNAcentral.
GAAGAGGGCGUUCUGUGUUUGGUGCGCAGGGGAGAUGAUACUGUCUUUAUAUAUCCUAUAUGUUCUCUUCAUUUAUUCAAUUUGAGAAUUACGUGGAGAUGUAUCAAGGCAGUGUCUUCUCUCUGCGCAUGAAACCUCCUGUUC